UAUAACUUUACAAAAAAUUUAUAGUUUGUAUAUUGUUGAAUAUUUAUAUAUUUACAUAUUAUAUUUAUAUAUUUUUCAAAGAAAUUUGAAUUUUUCUCAUUUUCUGAAUAUUUUAAAAUUCUUUAAAUCAUAAUUCUCUCUUAUAAAAUUCUCCAUCUCUUGAUUUUCAUCUUCACACAAUAUCUUUUAUAUAAUUUCAUGGUGAUUGAUCGCCAUUACAACAAUGGUACUAACAUAUACAUAAAAGAAAAGAACAAUCUAACUGCAAAAAUUUGUUAAUUCGCAUUUACUUAUAAACGAUAUAACGACAAAAGCGUCUUUCUAUUUCAAAACGUUCUAUUAAAUCUCGUAUAUUAUAAAUUUCCAAAUCAUAAUUUCUGUAACGUUCCAUUAACUAUUUUUCUAUGCUCGAUUUAUUACUCGGGACUGUCGAUCAUACGUCAAUUGAUUGAACCGUUUACGGUCGAUGAUUUUGAGAAAACGAAAAAAAUUCGUGUUUAAGUUCACAAGAUGUUAAAAUUUUUUGAUAAUUGGACUAUUUCGCCGAAAAUCCAAGCAUAGGGACAAUACGGAAGUUGACGUAAGGUCAGGGUCACUUGCAGAGAGGCACAGUUCAGGGUGGGAGAUAGAUCAUGAACCGAAGGUGGGAAGAAGGUGCACGGCAGAAGGGCGAGGAGGGGGAAAAGAGAGCAGUGGAAUGAGGAAGAGGGGGUGUGAGUAGAGAAUGAGAGAGAGAGAGAAUAUCAUAUGAGGAGGUGGAGAUGGAGGUGCGGUGUACGAGGGCUUCCCCUCAACAAGUGAUCGAAGUUCGCUAGACUAUAUAACCUGCGGCCGGGUCGCGACUAUGCUCAGAAUGCAUCGCGGAGCGUGGAUCUGUGAUUCGAACGAGUCGACGCCAUUUUUUUUUGUCGCGCGCCGACGGUACUAUUCAGGCAACUUUGUUACAUACGUUUUUAAAAGCAAAAUGAUGAAAAAUAUUCUUCACGAGAUAAAAAAAAGUUGUUGACGCGUUUCUAUUGUGUGAAGUAGGCGCUUGGAUGGUUAUUUGUAAUAAAUUAAGGAAAAUAUUUUAAAAAAUAUUUAUCAUUUGGGAAAAUUUAUGUGAUGAGAAAGAAUAUAAAAUAAGUAUUAAGAUAUAUUUUGUGUAUAUUAAUGUUAUUAAUAACGAGAAUAUAUAUAUAUAUAUGAUAACUUAUUUAUAUAAUAAAUUUGAAUAAAAAAUAAAAAUCGUGGAUUUUCAGACAACAAAAUCUGUGUUGGAUUAAAAUUGUUCAAAGUAAUUCAAGAUUAAGUAUUUGAGAUCAAAGUUUUAAAAUUUUUAUUAAAUUUUUCUAAAUGAUUAGUAAAUUCAGAUAAUGAGUUCGAUUAAUAUGAUAAAGUACAUAAUCUAUAAGAAGCAUAGCAUAUUUUUUGCAAUGAUUUUUUGCGAAAAAUGAUUAUGGAAAUUAACUUGAUUUUCCUACCGUACGUGUAAAUAUUGCUGUUCUCUAUUUGUUAACACAUUAUGUAUUUAUUCUAAAUAUAUUUUUAUUACAUUCAAUUUAACUUAAUAUUGUAAUAGUUAUAUGAAUAUAAAUUUAUCUAUACUAUAUAAUUUAAAUAAAUGUAAUAUAUUAAAACAUAAGGUAUUAACUUAUUAUAAUAUUUUUAUUAAAUUUUGAUUAAAAAUUAAAUUUUUUAAAUAAAAUUCUAUACUAUGUAUCGUUUUAUACUAAGAUUAUAAAAUGUAAUAUAGAUAUAAUAUAUAAUGUUACAAGAUGAAUAAAUUAAAAUGGAAUAUAAAUUAAAAUUUUCAAUUAUAAUAAUAUAAUUAUAACAUCAUUGUUGUAAUUUCUAUUUGACUAUCGUAACAUUGCCAUUAUUUUUUAAAACUGUUAACAGAGAAUGAUUAUCCGCGUUAUCUUUAACUUGAGAUCGACUUAACUACUAAUAGGUCAUCAAACCGAUAAAAAUAAAAUUUUCAUAUCUUUUUUUUUUUUUUUUUAAUUUUUAUCAUUGCAAGAUUGCUUUAAUCGAAUUAUAUGAUUUUUGAUGUGAACACUGAUUGAACUUGGAUAAUUUUUAAUUUAUAAAACUAAUUCCUCAGCGAAUAGAAUAAUAAUAUAAAAUAAAUACUUGUCUUAUAUAAUUCUCCUAAAAAUUUACAAUGAGAAAAUCACGAAAAUUAUUUAAUAUCAUAAUCUUUGAUUUCUUUUUUCUUUACAAAGAAUUUUCAAAUAUAUACUUCCAUCUGAACUAGAUCACUUGCUUGACCUUCUUAGUACAUCAAUUAAUCUUUACCUUUUUAGACUCGGUGUAUUUAUAGAAUAAAGUAGCUAUAUAUUAUAAUUUCUUAUCUUGAACCAGUAAUAUUGAUUGCAUUAUAGUAUCAAGUCAAGUAUUGUUCUCGUAUCAGAUUUUUCAUAAUUUAUUAUAAUAAUAAUAUAUUAAAUAAUAUAUUAAAAUUUUCAUUUAAUUUUUCUAAGUCCUUGCAAAAUCCUUUACAAUUAUUUGUUGAAAAGAUAUUUACAUGGUAUACAACUUUUCAAAAUCAAUUGCUUUUUUCUACGAAACGAUCAUUUUACACAAAAAGACACAGAAAUAAGAAAAAGUAUUUUGUACGUUCGCAGGCUGAAUUUAUCAGCGCGUUACGAAGCAAAAUCACUCCGCUUAAGGAGUAGUCGGCGUGAAGUGAAAGUGUGUAGAAUAGAAAUUAUUAGCAAGCCGCUAGUGCAGGUUCUUUACGGUAAUAAAACGAUUGGAUAACUCGUAUUCGUAUAUACGAGUGCGCUCUCUUGUGGAUUAUACAUCCAUGGAAGUUUUUUAUAAGUGUACAUGGGCGCCCACGAGAAAUUCUAAAUAAAUUACAGUGAUCUUCGAGCUGGAUUUCUGUGACCAACUGUCUGUUCUAUGCUCGCUUUUCUAAUCCAUAAACUUGCCUGUGCUUGGUUAAAGAAAUGGCUGUCCUGAGCGCAACAGUCACGCAGUUUUAUGUGUAAUGAAGUAGACAACAAGUUUUAUUCCCGUUUAGAAAGCUUCAAAUAUUUUCUUUGUUUCUUUUUUUUUUUAUUAUUAUUAUUAUUGUUGUGGAAUGAAAUUAUUGUGUUAAUCAUUUAUGUUAAUCGCUUAAAUUAAUAAAAAAAUUUAAUUCAAUUCAAAUUGACGUAAUAUUUCGUUGGUUAACGAAAUCUAUCUCAUUUUGAAUAGAAAAUAUUUAUACGAUUAUGAUUAUUUAAUGGUUUAAAUGAAAUUAUAAUGUAUAAUAUAAUGUUUCGUGUAUACCAAUUUAUUGAUUUAUGAAUGCAAUAUUUGCACUAAAGAUUAAGAGACAUGUAUCAUAUAUGUAUAUUUGAUAAUGAAUAUUUAUUAUUGUGAGAUUUACGAUAUUAAAGAUAUAGGCUAACAACAUGUAUUUAUAAUAAUUAUUCCUUAUUAUAUUUAUUGAAAAAGAAAUCAUCGUUCAUAUAUAAUGAAAUACAAAUAAUUUCAUUAAUAAAAUUAUUAAAUUAUUACUAUUUUCGUAUAUUAUAAAUACUAUUAUUAUAAUCAAUUACACGAUAUGAUCAUUAACAUCGGAGAUGGAGAAAAUCAAAGGAACCAUUGUUUUGAAAUUUAAUUUUUACAGAAAGACAAAACUGUUUUAUAUAUUGAUCACAACAUAUUCUGAAUAAAAUAUUGAACAAUUGCAUUAUUUAUUUAUGUGAAAUAACAACAUAGAAUCAAUAAUAAUAAUAUUGCAAAAAGCAGCAUUAUUAUACCACCAGAGAUUAUACCAUCUUUUUUAAUAUUAAAAUUAUUAUUACAAAAAUUAUGAAAAACUAGUUUUUUACUAUUCACGUAUUCAUAAAACAUUGUUUCUACGAAUGCAGAUUAUUACAAUAAAAAAAUAUAUAGGAAGCAAUUUUUUUUUACAAAAUCUUCAUAAAAUGCACAUUAACUUAAUAAAAUAUUCUUUAUCAUUAGAAAAUUUUAUUCGAAAUAUUCAAAAUUUAAAAUAAUUUCGUUUUUUGAGAUAUACUUCAUUAUUAUUUCAGUUACAAAAAUAUUUCAGACAUAUUGAAAUAUAUAAUGCUAUUAAUACUCGGUGACCAGAUGGAAACGUUAAAUGUCGAUCAAAGUCCCGCAUAAACUCAAUAUACAGUUCCGGGAAAAUAAUAAAUGUCGCUUAAUGUGAACUCGGUGAACUGUUUUUAUUUUUUAUUUAAACAAAAUUAUUAUAAUUUUGAAAAGAAAUUGUAGAGAAAUUUUUGCAAUCGUGAAAAGUAAUGGAAAAUUAAAUAAAAUGCAAAUCCGUAUCGUAAUAUAUUUUAAAAUUAUAAAAGAUAGAAAUAUUCGAAGUAUACCUAUGUUCGUCUUCUCACAAUCACUGUCGGAUCACUGUUGCAUACCAAGCGUUCUGAAUUCAUCUUAUACAGUUUACUAGCUAAUCUAAAUAUUUUAUCCUUAAAUUCCGAUUUCGAAACAACUAGAAAAUUAACCUACUUAAUCAUUUUUAGUUGUUUCUUGUUAUGUUAAACGAAUAAACUUUCUAAAUUUUAUUACAUUUGAUUUCUUUUCCUUUGUUAUAUUAAUUGAUAUUGAUUCAAUGAUGACGAAGCAAGAUGAAGAAGUAAUAAUAUGUAUAUAAUAAAAUGUCUAUUGCAUUUGUAAAAAAUUUUACGUUGGAAAAAUUUAUAUGAAGUACGAAGUUAAAUCUUUUAGCAAAACAAAAUUUUUUUAAAAUUCAUCCACAUAAUAUAAUUAUGUAUUAUAAUUAAGUACAAACAAACGCGUAAAAUCAUCAAAAUACAACACAAUCGAAUAACCAACCAGUUAAAAACAAACGUAAACCACGCGGAAAAUAAAGAGUAAAGUCACUACAUUUUAUCGAGAUAACGUAUAUUGUCAAAGAACCCAGUGGCGGAACAUCACGCUCUUACCGGUUCCGGCAAGAAAAAGUGUGCGGUAGGAGGAAGAGAAGAAUAAGGAGAAAAUAAAAAAGAAAGAGAAAGAAAGAAGAUUCCCUUGCAAACGAUAGAAGCCCCGGGAGAAAGACCAAGAUUGCGAGAGCCGUGGAGAGGCAAAGAGAUAUACUAUGGCGCGACUGGUAGAGAGUCUUCUGGUGGCCGUCAAAGGGGCACGCAGCGUAGUCUGGCAUUGGUCUGCUCGCUAUACGCAGUGCGUGUAGCGUGCGAGGAAUCCACGACGAAGUCGGUAAUGCUGAGUCAGUCAGGUGCCGCGGCGCCUUACAUUGCUUGGAAGUAGUCGGUGUCCGCGUAACAGAGAAAAAGAAUCGGAGAAUACAAUAUGGAAGCUGAAGUAUGUUAAAAGAUUACAGAAUAAAGAAAAAAAAUUAAUAUGAAUGUAAAAAGGAGAAGUAUAAGAGGAAAGAAUGAUGAGAUAGAGCAAAGAGAGACAAGAGAGACAAAAGCAGAAUAAAACGGAGAGAAAGACGAAAUGCUACUGUGGGGGAAGAGGUAGAGCGGGGCGCUUGCUGGUUCGCUCCCCGGUGAUGAGGUACGGUCGAUAUGGCAACGCCGCGCCCUGCCACACGCAUACCGGCAUCACCGCCCGCCCAAGCAUCGAACAGUCGGCAACGUCGCUUCGGCAACACGCGGGGGAGAUGGCAGUCAAGCUCUCACACAUCGAACGACGAGGAGAGCGACCUCAUGCCCUGCACACAUGUGCAGCCGGGGACACUGAAGAGACUGAGAUGCCUGGUUGGUUGCUGCUGCUGCUGUUGGCUUGUUCGCUUGCUUUCUUGCCUGCAUGACUGUCCCACGCACGCGCUUAUCUGACGUGCACCCCUGUGUCCAAAUUGGCGAAGUACUUUUCACUUGGAAGUUCGUUCUUUUGCUGCGGAAAAAAUAGGCAUCUGCUCUCUCCCCUCUCUCGCCAAGUUCCUUAGUUUAUUCUUAUAUUUUUUUUUAGAGAAUCCAUAAUCAGAAUUUUUAAACGAAUAAAUAAUGUGUUAAUUAAAAUAUAAACAUUUUUUUUAAAUAUAAAUAAUUUAAUAAUUAGAAAUGUAAAAAAUAAAAUGUUUUUUCGAUGUCAGUUUUCUGUUUUUGAAAAUAAAAUUUAUUAAAAACGAAAUAUUCUUUAUACAAAA
Long non-coding RNA from Apis cerana (Asiatic honeybee), 6067 nucleotides. RefSeq lists it as uncharacterized. The record is from RefSeq and is a predicted model, not a curated record. NCBI's taxonomy places the organism in Eukaryota, Metazoa, Arthropoda, Insecta, Hymenoptera, Apidae.